RNAcentral lists this ribosomal RNA (486 nucleotides) under uncultured bacterium. Its description in RNAcentral is "bacterial SSU rRNA". It matches the Rfam family "Bacterial small subunit ribosomal RNA", at positions 28 to 536 of the family's 1533-position model. The record is from RNAcentral.
GAUGAACGUUGGCGGCGUGCCUAAUACAUGCAAGUCGAACGAAGACUGUAGUAAUACUGUCUUAGUGGCGAACGGGUGAGUAACGCGUGGGUGACCUGCCCCGAAGUGUGGGAUAACAGUCCGAAAGGAUUGCUAAUACUGCAUAAUAUCCAAGAGAUUAGACGCUUUCGGAUUAAAGGAGUAAUUCGCUUCGGGAGGGGCCCGCGUCCCAUCAGCUAGUUGGUAAGGUAAUGGCUUACCAAGGCGAUGACGGGUAGGGGACCUGAGAGGGUGGCCCCCCAAAUGGAACUGAAACACGGUCCAUACACCUACGGGUGGCAGCAGUAGGGAAUAUUAGUAAUGGGCGAAAGCCUGAACUAGCAACGCCGCGUGUGCGAAGAAGGCCUUCGGGUCGUAAAGCACUUUUGAGAGGAUGAGGAAGGACGGUACUCUCAGAAUAAGUCUCGGCUAACUACGUGCCAGCAGCCGACGGUAAACUAGUCUACG